Molecule: ribosomal RNA, 585 nt
Filed under: uncultured bacterium
Lineage: Bacteria
Description: partial 16S ribosomal RNA
Rfam family: Bacterial small subunit ribosomal RNA
Source: RNAcentral
UGGGGAAUUUUGGACAAUGGGCGAAAGCCUGAUCCAGCAAUGCCGCGUGUGUGAAGAAGGCCUUCGGGUUGUAAAGCACUUUUGUCCGGAAAGAAAUCCUUGGCUCUAAUACAGUCGGGGGAUGACGGUACCGGAAGAAUAAGCACCGGCUAACUACGUGCCAGCAGCCGCGGUAAUACGUAGGGUGCAAGCGUUAAUCGGAAUUACUGGGCGUAAAGCGUGCGCAGGCGGUUUGCUAAGACCGAUGUGAAAUCCCCGGGCUCAACCUGGGAACUGCAUUGGUGACUGGCAGGCUAGAGUAUGGCAGAGGGGGGUAGAAUUCCACGUGUAGCGGUGAAAUGCGUAGAGAUGUGGAGGAAUACCGAUGGCGAAGGCAGCCCCCUGGGCCAAUACUGACGCUCAUGCACGAAAGCGUGGGGAGCAAACAGGAUUAGAUACCCUGGUAGUCCACGCCCUAAACGAUGUCAACUAGUUGUUGGGGAUUCAUUUCCUUAGUAACGUAGCUAACGCGUGAAGUUGACCGCCUGGGGAGUACGGUCGCAAGAUUAAAACUCAAAUGAAUUGACGGGGUCAUAGCUGUUUCCU